Molecule: ribosomal RNA, 338 nt
Filed under: uncultured Pseudomonadota bacterium
Lineage: Bacteria; Pseudomonadati; Pseudomonadota
Description: bacterial SSU rRNA
Rfam family: Bacterial small subunit ribosomal RNA
Source: RNAcentral
AACGAACGUUAGCGGCGCGCUUAACACAUGCAAGUCGAGCGAGAAAGGGCUUCGGCCCCGGUAAAGCGGCGCACGGGGUGAGUAACACGUAGGUAAUCUGCCCCCAGGUGGUGGAUAACGUUCCGAAAGGAGCGCUAAUACAGCAUGAGACCACGUCUUCGAAAGAGGAUGGGGUCAAAGCCGGCCUCUUCAUGAAAGCUGGCGCCAGGGGAUGAGCCUGCGGCCCAUCAGCUAGUUGGUAGGGUAAUGGCCUACCAAGGCUUAGACGGGUAGCUGGUCUGAGAGGAUGAUCAGCCACACUGGGACUGAGACACGGCCCAGACACCUACGGGAGGCUG